UGCAGUCGUACGAGAGUUUUUAACUCAAGUGGCGGACGGGUGAGUAACACGUAAGAAUUUGCCUUUAGGAGGGGGACAACAUCUAGAAAUGGGUGCUAAUACCCCAUAUGCUUUCGAGUGAAAUGGAUUUUUCCGCCUAGAGAGAAGCUUGCGGCUGAUUAGCUUGUUGGUGAGGUAAUGGCUCACCAAGGCGACGAUCAGUAUCUGGUUUGAGAGGACGAUCAGACACACUGGAACUGAGACACGGUCCAGACUCCUACGGGAGGCAGCAGUGGGGAAUUUUCCGCAAUGGGCGAAAGCCUGACGGAGCAAUACCGCGUGAGGGAUGACGGCCUAUGGGUUGUAAACCUCUUUUUUCGGGGAGGAAUCAAUGACGUGUACCUGAAGAAUAAGCAUCGGCUAACUCCGUGCCAGCAGCCGCGGUAAGACGGAGGAUGCAAGUGUUAUCCGGAAUCACUGGGCGUAAAGCGUCUGUAGGUGGUCCAAUAAGUCAACUGUUAAAUCUUGAGGCUCAACCUCAAAAUCGCAGUCGAAACUAUUAGACUAGAGUAUAGUAGGGGUAAAGGGAAUUUCCAGUGGAGCGGUGAAAUGCGUAGAGAUUGGAAAGAACACCGAUGGCGAANGCACUUUACUGNNCUAUUACUAACACUCAGAGACGAAAGCUAGGGUAGCAAAUGGGNNUAGAUACCCCAGUAGUCCUAGCCGUAAACAAUGGAUACUAGAUGUUGGACAGAUCGACCUGUGCAGUAUUAAAGCUAACGCGUUAAGUAUCCCGCCUGGGAAGUAUGCUCGCAAGANUGAAACUCAAAGGANNUGANNGGGCCCGCACAAGCGGUNGNNCNNGUGUUUNNUUCGAUGCNACNCNA
Molecule: ribosomal RNA, 866 nt
Filed under: uncultured bacterium
Lineage: Bacteria
Description: partial 16S small subunit ribosomal RNA
Rfam family: Bacterial small subunit ribosomal RNA
Source: RNAcentral